AAAUACACCGAAAUGGCGGAUUUUAAAAAGUGGUGCAAAGCUUAAACUUUAUUUUGUUUUCUAAGAUACAAAAUUCACAGCUACGAUAAACCAUGAGUGACGUGCAAUCACAAGGUUUACAAUGGACUUCAUUUGAAGAUCCUAAUAUAUCUGUUGAGCAAGUUGUUGAACACGAAACUGAUAGUGAUGAACCCAAUCCCAGGAUUUGUGAAGACAACAGGGAAAAUGAGCCAAAUGUGCAGAACAAAACAGAAGAAAACGCGCUCGAAGACGCUUUCGAGCCAACGUUGGUAACUGAAUCGUUACCAGCGCAUAAUAAACCUCGUAAUAAAACAGAGAAAGAACUCAGAGAAUGUAGAUAUUGUUCCUAUCAAGCAGAAGAUUGGCCGCAAUUUAGCAGACACGUUUUCACCACAAAACACAUAAAGAGAGUUGCCGAAGCCUUUAACAUAAGAUUAACCAAGGAUCAAAUGACCUGCUUUACAUGUGAAUUGUGUAAGGUCACCUGUCAAGGGCCAACAAGUUUCCACGAUCAUAUGACCGGAGGAAGACAUGUAAAGAACCUGUUACAACAAGUCGCUCAGGAGGAAAGUAAAAGUAAAACAGGCAAAAUGGUGACUAGCAUUUUGGCGAAUUCGAAAAAACCUUACGACAGACCUGCAAAACCAAAGGCGAAGACUAAAGCUGUUGCAUCGCCCACCACACAAUUCGCAAACCAUCCCCAGCCUUUAAUAGGCCUGGAGUACGUUACGGAAAUCCAGGCUCCUGAAAAUGUGGUUAAAUACGAGUGCUCUGCGUGUAAAAUGAAAUUUGACAAUGGUGUUAAAUUUCUUCACCUGGUCGGACAAAAACAUCGUUUGAAUGUGUUGAAAAUAAAGCGGCCUGAGUUUGCGAAACAGUUGAACAGCGGUGGUAAAAAGCGCUCGGCUGAAAUUUCAACUGAAUGCCUUAAAGAAGCGAUGGCUUUGGAAAUGGAAGAAGGACGGCAAGAAAUAAAAGUUAAGGUCGAGAAGUUGCCCGUUGGCAAUCAGCAAACAGUUAAAGCUCGUGGAAUACGCGAUGGGAGCUCGCCUGCCAAAAAUGUGCGAGGAAAAGGAAAUGUGAACAGGGGCGUCUCGAACAUUAGACCACAAAAUUUGCCAUCGCAAAGAAGCGCAUUCAAUUUCCGCGGGUCUUAUGAAAGUGCAUCUUUUUCACCAAGUCUUUCUUACGAAAAUUACAACAACGCCCAUACUUCGACGUUUCGUCAAAUGUCUUUCAGUGAGAGCUACCGUGCUGCUAACUAUGGUGGCGAUUCUGGACAAAGCUCUCAAUACGGACAGACGUAUACAAACCUUAUCGCACCGUCUUCGAAUCAAGGUUACUUACCGAUUUCACCUGCCCCUCCCCAUAUCCUGUCGCAUUCUAAAGCGGAAGUCUUUGUAAAAAAAUCCCCGUGUCUCGCGAAUGCUCUUGGAGACUUGUCCGAUUUGAUAAAAACUAACGACGAUGCCUCCAUGGCUCUUCAAGUUUCCAAUGCACUAACGAAAGCGCUGCUGCAGCUCAAAAGAGCCAGUGGAAGGGAAUAAUCAGUCACGACACAUCAGGAGCGGUCAAUUCUCACAGAUUUUAAAGCUCUGUCAAGAUUGUUAAUGGCAGGGACGAAAAAGAUUUUCAAACUCUGACUGACCUGUAAAUGAUUAUUGCUCCUUAAAAAACGCGUGGAAAAGGUGAUCUAUUCUUUCCAACCAAGAACAGUUUUAGACAAGAGAAGUGAGCUCAGCUGAAAUGAUUGCAUUCAAGGCGAUCUUGCUGUGGUUAGUGUGGGACGUCGCCUUUUGAAGUGCACAACUUCAUUAUAUAUUGUUUGGAGAUGAUCUGUAAACACAUCUCAGUUAGCUAGUGUCUGGUCGUCGAGGUUUCUAUGGGACUUUGUCAAGCUAAGUGAUUUCAAAUUCUUUUUUGCACAAAUUUACCUUGGUUUACAAAUGGUUUCGUCAAUGCGUUUUCACCCUGAAAAACUUUAGAGCAUGCGCAAUUAUUCAUUUAAGUUUCCUAUCUUUUUUUGUUCUCUUUUGCCUGUUAUUGUUUUCAUUGCAGGUUAAGUGAGAGAAUCACAAUCUCGAAGCCAAAAGCAGCGAAUAGUCCAAAUACUUUCUUUCAUGCUUGAUUGCGGUGCAUUCAUUUCAAUAGUUUCUGACGUACUGUCCAUGAAUCAUAAGGAUGACGCUAACAAGUUGUCUGGUUGUGGCCAGGGAAUUAAUUCUUAGCUUCAAGACCAGACGCCUAGUGACAAUGGAAUAUAGCAAAGUACUGCCAAUAAACGAGGCAGAGCUAACUUUUCUCAUAUUCUUGUAUACAGCCGAUGCUAUAUCACCCGUAGAAUGAAUAUAUGAAUUGAACUUUGAAGUUGCAAAUGGUGAUUAUGACUAAGAUUAUGAUUAAGAUUAUGAUUAAGAUUACUAUAAUUUACAAGUAUCAGAAAUACAGCUUUUAAUAACUAUAA
This is an RNA transcript of Xenia sp. Carnegie-2017, 2485 nucleotides long. RefSeq lists it as uncharacterized. The transcript is spliced from 13 exons. The record is from RefSeq and is a predicted model, not a curated record. NCBI's taxonomy places the organism in Eukaryota, Metazoa, Cnidaria, Anthozoa, Malacalcyonacea, Xeniidae.